UACGUAGGGGGCAAGCGUUGUCCGGAAUCAUUGGGCGUAAAGAGCGUGUAGGCGGCCCGGUAAGUCUGUUGUGAAAGUCCAGGGCUCAACCCUGGAAUGCCGAUGGAUACUGCCGGGCUAGAGUUCGGAAGAGGCGAGUGGAAUUCCUGGUGUAGCGGUGGAAUGCGCAGAUAUCAGGAGGAACACCUAUAGCGAAGGCAGCUCGCUGGGACGACACUGACGCUGAAUAGCGAAAGCGUGGGUAGCGAACAGG
RNAcentral lists this ribosomal RNA (253 nucleotides) under uncultured bacterium. RNAcentral's name for it is "partial 16S ribosomal RNA". It matches the Rfam family "Bacterial small subunit ribosomal RNA", at positions 524 to 776 of the family's 1533-position model. The record is from RNAcentral.